Molecule: long non-coding RNA, 1235 nt
Organism: Salvelinus fontinalis (brook trout)
Lineage: Eukaryota; Metazoa; Chordata; Actinopteri; Salmoniformes; Salmonidae
Exons: 2
Source: RefSeq, a predicted model, not a curated record
ACUAUUGCCUACAGUUACCGUGUAGGGCACUGCAUGGUUGGGUGACCAGGGUCAUCUGGGACUGCCUCCUGGAGAAAUUCAGGUGUGUGAAGGCUACCUGUGUCCUGCGUAACUUCAUGAGGAUGAACACGAGGACCAGGAGGGGAUCUGCAGCUCGCCGCCGUGUGCCAGAGGAGGAGUCUGCUGCUCUGCAGGAUGUUUCAAGGAUGGGGUCCAACAACGCAGCAAGAGAGGCAAUCCGUGUGCAGGAGAUCUUCACCUCCUCCUUCUUCAAAGAGGGUGCUGUUCCCUGGCAACACCAUAGACUACACUAUGCACAACCAAAGUAUUCUUCCAUUUCAACUGCGGUUAUUCAAUUCACAGUUUCUCUCCCUUUGAUUUCUACUUCUCAGGUGAGGGUGCAGUUUAGGUAGGGUGUGUUGUCUGUGCAAAAACAAAACAGGUAUUUUAAAUCCCUAAUAUUGAAAAAAAUGUAGAACAAUUAGACACCCUAUAACCGACAUCUACACACUCAUGUCAUGGAGAAUAGUAAGACACUUAAUAAUUUCUAUAACUACGCUAUAUUGUUUGUCCGUUCAUGUUUUUCAGCAUAAAGUACUCUGCAGCCACUUAGUGUGGUGUGGACACCAGGUUAUAUCAGCUGUGUCGGUGAACCCCUCCUGCAUCUGGACUGGCUGCAUAGAGGGCACAGCAUGUUCAGAUGUGAGAGGUCACUUGCUCAGGUCAACAGUAUUAUUAAAGAGAUGCUUUACAUUGAAAUACAGACAGAGAUGCAGUAGUCCCAGAGUUAAUGAUCCAAGGUCAGUUUUGCAUUUCACCUCCUGAUUGAUGACUAACAAUGUUAGAAUAAAAAAUAAAAACACAAGGCUUAAACAUGCUCUCUCUCUCCAUCGGUCUCUCGUCUGCAGGUAUGUUUUGAUGUGAGAGGAUGCCAACCCCCAGUCCCAUCAUCGCCACCUCACCUGCUUUCAACCUUUAGGCCGGCUAGAGACACUGUUAUGUAAUUGUGAUGAACUGAGAGAAUAUUUAGGUAGCACUGUGAUUCAUUAAUCAUGUGCUGCCUUCCCUGCUCCUAUGUGCUUACCUCUUUCCCUUUCUGUCUUUUACACCUCUCUCGCCCCCUCCUCUUUCUUCCUCUGUUUUUAUAAUGCACAACAGAUGUGCAUUGAAGUACAGAUUGAACUUGUAUUUAUAACACUUGGAUAAUGAGCUUUUCAAUAAAGCGUUUCACAUUC